Molecule: ribosomal RNA, 253 nt
Filed under: uncultured bacterium
Lineage: Bacteria
Description: partial 16S ribosomal RNA
Rfam family: Bacterial small subunit ribosomal RNA
Source: RNAcentral
UACAGAGGUCUCAAGCGUUGUUCGGAUUCAUUGGGCGUAAAGGGUGCGUAGGCGGCGCGGUAAGUCGGGUGUGAAAUCCCGGGGCUCAACCCCGGAACUGCAUCCGAUACUGCCGUGCUAGAGGAUUGGAGAGGUAGCUGGAAUUCUUGGUGUAGCAGUGAAAUGCGUGGAGAUCAAGAGGAACACUCGUGGCGAAAGCGAGCUACUGGACAAUUCCUGACGCUGAGGCUCGAAGGCUAGGGUAGCGAAAGGG